Cyanistes caeruleus (blue tit) is the source of this 1147-nucleotide long non-coding RNA. RefSeq lists it as uncharacterized. The record is from RefSeq and is a predicted model, not a curated record. Lineage: Eukaryota; Metazoa; Chordata; Aves; Passeriformes; Paridae.
GAGCUGGAGUGGGGACAGCCUUUCCCCGCCGAGGUUGCUUUGUGAGAACCACUGGGAUGUAAUAAAACCCAUCAAACAAAAACCAGCAUCAGCAGAUAAAUAGAAGUGGACGCUGAGUGCCCACAGUAACUCACGGGCUCCCAGAGGAUGUUCCAGAGCACCCGAGGCUGGUGUCUGCCUGGUUUUGUACCACUUGCACCAAACCCUGUGAUUUAGGGUUUAACUUUGCUGGAGAUGGGGAGGAACAAGAGGUGUGAGUUGUGCCACCAGUGGCUCCAGGUGUCCCUGCUCCUACCCGCAGCUCCUGCUGGAUCUGUGGGGUGGAGCUUUCGUGGCAGCGCGGAUUAAAGCCACACCUUGAGCAUCCCUGUGGAGCUGGGUGUGACCGUCCCGAGCCGCAGAGCCUCCGCAGGGCGCCAGGGCCCUGAAACACGAGCUGAAACAAGAGGGGUGUGAGGCAGCGGGGAGAGGUUUCUGAGCACGGCUUUGGGCUGAGAAACCGGGACAGGGGGGCCAGAGGCACACACGAAACCUGGGACCACAGUGGGAGUGGAGCAUUUCUCCACGUGGGGCAAAGGACAAACGUGGCCAAGGAACCGCAGAGAUGAUGAAAAGCUGCUGCAGAAUCACCUCCAACCCCUGAGGGCAAAGCCGGCCUGCAGCUUGCCCUGCCCUGCUUCUCCUCCCCACCGCGGGGGGAAUGACCGAGCUGGGCAGAGGGAGGGAUCCCACCCCAGGCUCGGGGACGCUCCAGGGAACAGGGAGCGCUCCUCGGCACAUCCCCGUUCCUGGGCUCCAUCGCCGUGCUCCAGCCACCCUGGAGCCUGGCACAGGGCUCGGCUCCCGGGAUCCUGCCGCGGGCUGCCCUCCCCUCUCCUGGCACUCCCGUGGUCCUGAUGUGCCAGCUGAGCCCUCUGGGCCCCGGAGAUGUGGAUGCAGCGCUGGGCAGGGAACUAUUCCCAAUGGAAGGGUCCUGCCUCACCAGGUGCCAGCUCUGUCUCCAGCUGCUGUUCCUUACUUUAGGUAAAAUACACACUCUGAUGUGUUGGUCACUUUAAAGGGGUCAUUCCCAGCUUUCUCACGGCUCCCCCAGCAGGGAGGAAAAAGAUGCUACUCCCUUUUCCUUCUGGGUAUUGCCAGGAGUACC